RNAcentral lists this ribosomal RNA (253 nucleotides) under uncultured bacterium. Its description in RNAcentral is "partial 16S ribosomal RNA". It matches the Rfam family "Bacterial small subunit ribosomal RNA", at positions 524 to 776 of the family's 1533-position model. The record is from RNAcentral.
GACGAACCGUGCAAACGUUAUUCGGAAUCACUGGGCGUAAAGGGCGCGUAGGCGGCUUGACAAGUCAGGGGUGAAAUCCGGCAGCUUAACUGUCGCAGUGCCUUUGAUACUGUCGAGCUCGAGGGAGGUAGGGGUCUGUGGAACUUCCGGUGGAGCGGUGAAAUGCGUUGAUAUCGGAAGGAACGCCGGUGGCGAAAGCGACGGACUGGAUCUCUUCUGACGCUGAGGCGCGAAAGCCAGGGGAGCAAACGGG